GGAAUGGAAUGUGCUACCCAGUUUGGAGUGACCACAUUGAACAAGUGUAUCUGCCUGGCAGCUGUCGCUUGUUUCCUGUGCAAAACAUCCCUGUGUGCUCAUGGAAGAGAAAAAUCUGUUUAUGGGCAAGGCUGCAGCCAGAAUAUAAAGAGACAAUCUUCUUAGGAGUAUUCCCAGCUUGGAGCACCAUGAGGCUCAGGUUUAGACACAGCACUGCAGCAACAAUGAAAAACAGCAGUAAAAGUCAGGUGCAGGUAAGAAAAACAAACCUGGCAGCCAGAUACCUUGGUCUCUCCUCCUGGGCUCACCAUCUGCAUCACAAUAAAUCACCCUAAAAUCUCCAUCCCUGCCCUCCCUCCCUGCACAUGUCUGGUCUCAGCAGAAUUCAGGCAGAGGCAUAAAUUACCACAAAAAUGGCAUCGAGUCAGGCAGCUGCCUGUCACUGUCCUUUUAGGAAUGUUUGCCUUCUGAUUUACCACAGGAAACAUCUUCCACCGAGGGGGGCAAGUACACAUCAGCCGGCAGGUACUGGCGAGCAGAUGGAGGAUGCUCGUGCUUCGGCUCACUCCUGCUACACCCUCUUCUGGCAGCUUGCUGGUCUGCCCACACAUCGGGACUGCAAAUUCAUCAGCUGACACCGCAAAGAAAUGGGCCCUCACAAACACAAAACGCCUGUCCCAGAAUGCCCAAGGUGGCUGAGACCCUUCAGACACAAGUGUGCUACACACACUAACAGCUCUCAAACUGGUCAGCUCGCCCCGGCCUGGGAUUUUAAAAAGUACUGUUUCAUACUCUGCUUUUACCUGUACUUUGGCCAUAACUUGAUUUUAAACGUGCUAGGCCAAGAACUGUCACGAAACAGUCUGUAGCUCAGGUCUCACAGGUGCAGACUAACUCUUGAAACAGUUUAAAAUGUGAUGCUGCACAAAUUUAGACACUUUAAACAUAAGCUACAGACCGACCAGAGGUAAAACAAAAUUUCUCAGUGUAGUCUCAAGACAGUGUAGCUAUACUCUCAUUGAUUUAAACCCAUGUAAAUCUGCAUUGGUUUAGCAUUUUCAACAUGGUUGCUGAAUCUCUAGAGGUUUAAGACAGAGACUGACAGACUAAAAGGGAGUGUUCUCUGUGUUUGGAUGUACUGGCUUCCCAGUAAUUGCUAGAAAGGGCUUACGGUGGACACCUGAUAAAAGUGUCUACUUAGAAAGGCUGAAUUAUUUAAUGAAGUGUCUCUGAUGCUCUCAUUUAGACCCACAUUAGAAGGCCAAAAGGAGCGAUUAGUGUCAGAGGAAGCCGGACUUGCAGACAAAGCAAUUCUAGUGCUUUAUUUUCUCCCUUAGGAUGACUACAGAUGCUUAUUGCAACCACCUUUUGCUUUUGGUCUGGUUUAGAGUCUGUAUUUUUAUCCUGCUAAUGAUUUAUUAACCCUUUUGUUAAAAGUAGCUUCUAGCAACCUGCCUUAUAUUCACACCAUAUUCACAGCAUUUUUUAAAAAUUUACCUUGUCUUCUACAUGAGCAUCUCCCAAAGCUUUUUCAGUGGCACUAUUUCUGGGAGUUGGAGUAGCCACAAUUGGUCUGUGCAUCACGCUUUGCAUGAUCCAGGCUGUAUAAUGAUUCCAGUGAGGUCAAGACUACAGGAUUUGGCCUCCAUAUCUGCUCCACAAAGAACAUUAACUCCUCAGGAGUCAUUAUAUAGACAGUGAAUGAGAUACAUCAUAAUAAAGCAGUAAUUAAGUUAAAGAUGCCUGUCA
Long non-coding RNA from Manacus vitellinus (golden-collared manakin), 1749 nucleotides. The record is from Ensembl. NCBI's taxonomy places the organism in Eukaryota, Metazoa, Chordata, Aves, Passeriformes, Pipridae.